CUCAACCUUCAGUGCACACACACUCACACAUACAUUCAAACCACUGCUAUCCAUUACCACGGUCGCCGUCAUCAUGAGAGCCGGGGUGAGAGCGUUGCUGCUGGUGCUAGCGGCCGGCGUGUGUGUGUCGCACGCACAGAACAACAAUAGCAACGACAACAAGCAGCCGGCGGCGCAGCAGCAGCAACCGCGUAGCAUCUGGGACGACCCCAUCAGGUUCAACACCAAAGCCAAGGAUGCCUGCACCAUGGUGGUGUCCGGCGCAGGGGACUACACCCGCCUUAGAGUGUCCUGCAAAGGUCCCAGCCAGGGCCAGAGCCAGGGGCGUUCUUACUACUGUGAUUUCCAGGGCAAGCCUAACCUCUGCCGCGCCUACAACACCAACCCUCGCCACUACUUCACCCAGCUGAUGUGGGACAUGCGCAAGCAGAACCAUGCGUGCCAGGGACCCAAAGUCUUCCGCCCCCAGAUGUGUAAGAAGUACCCUGAGGAAGCCCACAUGACCUUCCUGGCAUCCUGGCCCAAAACCACCACCCCUAAGCCUGCCAAACCCGCCGUGGAGCGCAAACCCAUUACCUCCCAGUCCAAGCCUGCUGCCACCAAGGCCUCCCCAGCCCAGCCCAAGCCCCAGCCUGCCAAGCCCCAGCCUGCCAAGCCCCAGCCUGGCAAGGGCCCUGUCAAGAAGCCCACAGUCAAGCCUGGGAAGACCACCACCAAGCCCACGGAGCAGCCUGACGCCAAGGCAUCCCGCCUGGCACAGGAGUACUGCUGGAAGAGCUUCAAAGGGAUCUGCACCUACUUCAUCAGCUGGUUCCAGAACUAAUGGAACACAAGAACACAUGCAGAACACAUGCAGAACACAGGUAGGCAGAACACAGCAGGGUUUGUAACUUCAUCGACAGAGAGUAACACCAGCUAACAUGAGGGCGUGGGGUGGUGGUGUGUGGAGGGCUGGGGAGCACAGCCCUGUGUCCACAAGCCCUCCUACUCACCUCAAACACCCCAAAACAACCAACUGCAGUAGAUCACAAUCUAACGUCUGUUCAACGUUUUAGUGUGUUGUUGUUUCUCUUUGUUUCUGCUCAUUCACCACAUCUCUUUGUACAUGAAUCAUCAAAUAAAUACUGUGACACACACAAACACAGACACACAGACACACAGAUAACAGUAGAUAUGAGACUUGUGAUUUUAUUUGUAUAUUCUGUAAUAUUCCCACGUCAUGUCACGCUAACACACAUAAUCUGAAAACAUGGAGAAUAAACUAAAAAAGUGAGCAAUAAAGUUUAAGAUACAAAAUUGUGAAUGUAAACAAAAUAAAGUUAGAAUGGGGACUUUUUCUCCUGUAUCCUCAACUUGU
Osmerus eperlanus (European smelt) is the source of this 1357-nucleotide RNA transcript. It is a transcript of the gene named fibroblast growth factor-binding protein 2-like, with no coding region annotated. The record is from RefSeq and is a predicted model, not a curated record. The transcript is spliced from 2 exons. NCBI's taxonomy places the organism in Eukaryota, Metazoa, Chordata, Actinopteri, Osmeriformes, Osmeridae.